This 50-nucleotide small RNA is filed under the name Arabidopsis thaliana (thale cress). RNAcentral's name for it is "ATSL254790". The record is from RNAcentral. Lineage: Eukaryota; Viridiplantae; Streptophyta; Magnoliopsida; Brassicales; Brassicaceae.
CCCAACUCUCGUACAAAGCAGGAAAAACAACAAAAAAAACAAAAACAAAA